AACUGACCUUCAUAAGAACUCAGAAGACUUAGUAAAUGCUGAAGAAAAACAUGCUGAUACACAUCCAUAGGCCUGAAACACCUUAAAGGCUUCCGUCAUUUUAAACAUGAGAGAAUAAUGAAAACAGCAUGAAAACAUCCUAAAUCCUCAAUUUUCCAGGAAGCUAUAUCCCUCUUUCAACAUACAAUUGGAUCAGGCCUUUUUUAAUGAACUCAAGGAAUUAAGGAGAACCUAAAUUUUGAGCUAAACUCUGGCUAAAUAAAUACACUUAAGUUGCUAUCAGAGUUUUUGAUCAGUGCUUCUGAUGCUAUUUUUCCUUGACAAUUUGGCCUUAUUCAAUCAAGCCAGAGAAAUUUUUAAGACAAAAUUUGGACAGUUUUAAAUUCUCCUCAUUUUUAACCCAGUCAUAGUGACUGUGCAACGUGUGUGCAGAAGAUGAAGCAUUUUAACAUUUACUUUGUUGUGCUGUCUCACACAGAGUACACAUUUUUAAAGGUCUUAAAUCAAAGGAAAGCAAAAACAAAAUUAUGGGAAAAUUUUCUUGCAGUGCUGGGGAACAUGCUGUUUAGAUCGUCCUUAUUUUAAAUGCACAGGAAUAAAAUGAGAGGUGGGGCUGGCCAGAAACUGUAGUCGAAGUUCUAUGGCAACAAUGGCAAACCACAGCCUCAGCUGAAUGAUCUGAUGAGCACCUCAUUGUAGCUCUCAUACUGGGAAAUGGCAGUGAAACCUUUCCUGAACUCAGUGAACCAGCCUGCAUCCUUCUCUGUGGUUUCAAAGCAUCACCUCGACGGGUGUGGUCACAAUGCAAGUCACAUGGUAUCUACAGUCAACAAUAACAUGACCGUCAGACUUCGUGAUUGGUAGAAACGGACAAUAGAAUGGAAAAUAGAAUUUGCCUUCUGGGGUGUUUAUCCCACCAGAAUGUAACAACAAAAUGCAUCACAAGCCAAGAGAUAAGAGACAAGAUGUGUGUAUGUUUGUGUGCGUGCGUGUGUGUGUGUGUAUGUGUGUUCAAAAAUGUUGAUGAAAAUGGAAGCUCACACUUUUCUGUACAGAUAACAUUAUUUGACGUGACUUUUAAAUUUACGCCACAGAAACAAACUGCAGCCCUUGGAGGCCCUACCACCUUGUUAUGUUUUGCCUGAGCAUGUGCAAAGCCUUUCCUUUGCUCCAAACUAAAGAACUACCUUUAUUUGUUGUUAGCGACAAGAAAGGUCAAGUACAAUUAGUUGUUGUAACUUUUCAUUGUACAAACAUUGCAAUGAUCAUGAGCUUCAGUGAAUUUAUCUUUAUGAAAGGUAGAAAUUGGAUGGAAGGAAUUAAGAGAAGCCAUCAAUUAAACGACAUGAAAGAGCGUCCAUCUUCCUAACAAGUUUUCUGUUGCACCUGCUUCUUAAUUGGGAUUCUUGAGGCUAAGCAAUAUUUUAGAAAUUGAUACAAUCAGAAGUUUUUAAGCCUAAGUGGUGAGAUUUCAUAACUCACAACCUAGCUCUCUUUUAAUGUGUAAGCCAUAUUCUAUAUGCAUAUUUAGUAUGCAUCAUUGUAAUUUAAGAUAUAUUUGUGUGUAGACUGUAUAAAAUGCUUUUAAAUGUUCUGUGAAUAAAGUCUUUAGCUUUAGUUUCACCUGAAUCUCAUAUAAAACACAGCUAGAUAAUUAAAUUGUAUCAUAGACAUUACAAUGCAAUUGAUAUUUUAAAUGUAAGUAGUAAAGACUGACCUAUAAUAAUGCACUGGGGGAACAUUUAUAGAUGUGUACAUCAUGGUGACUUUUUGUCCUUUCAUAAUGGACUUUUUAUUUCUAUUUAUAGAGAAACUGUAGCUAUUGCCUUUAGUGUCUUUUUAAAACAAGCGAAUUAUAAGCUAGAAAAUAUUGUGCAUUUAAAAUAGAAUCUGACUAUCUGGGAAGUCUAAUUACUAUUGUUCUUAUUUGAGCCAGUUGUCGUUCAGCAAAGCUAUAGACUCUCUCAAGGGAGAAGUAAACUGAAACACUGCUUCCCCAGUGUCAUGGGAAACAUAUCCACUUUAUUCCUAGUAAUACUUUAAGAUCUGUAGACCUUGUUACUAAAGAAAUAGAGGAAUAUAAAUAAUUCAUCAAUUUCUGUAUAUGGGCUUUAACCUAAUUUUCUGGGUUCUGUGACUUACAAAGCACUGUGACCAAGCUUCCAGAGAAGUAAAGAUGUUUCACUUCUUCA
Carlito syrichta (Philippine tarsier) is the source of this 2192-nucleotide long non-coding RNA. RefSeq lists it as uncharacterized. NCBI's taxonomy places the organism in Eukaryota, Metazoa, Chordata, Mammalia, Primates, Tarsiidae. The transcript has 2 exons. The record is from RefSeq and is a predicted model, not a curated record.